This 422-nucleotide ribosomal RNA is filed under the name uncultured bacterium. RNAcentral's name for it is "bacterial SSU rRNA". It matches the Rfam family "Bacterial small subunit ribosomal RNA", at positions 355 to 774 of the family's 1533-position model. The record is from RNAcentral.
UGAGGAAUAUUGGGCAAUGCCCGCAAGGGUGACCCAGCAACGCCGCGUGGAGGAUGAAUGUCGUAAGAUUGUAAACUCCUGUUAGAGGGGAAGAAUAGUACCGGUUGGACCGGUAUAUGACUGUACCCUCAGAGAAAGCCCCGGCUAACUACGUGCCAGCAGCCGCGGUAAUACGUAGGGGGCAAGCGUUGUCCGGAUUUACUGGGCGUAAAGGAUGCGUAGGCGGAUACUUAAGUCAGAUGUGAAAAUCCCGGGCUUAACUUGGGAACUGCAUUUGAAACUGGGUAUCUAGAGUGCGGGAGAGGAAAGUGGAAUUCCUAGUGUAGCGGUGAAAUGCGUAGAGAUUAGGAAGAACACCAGUGGCGAAGGCGACUUUCUGGACCGUAACUGACGCUGAGGCAUGAAAGCGUGGGGAGCAAACA